Molecule: unclassified non-coding RNA, 253 nt
Filed under: uncultured Xanthobacteraceae bacterium
Lineage: Bacteria; Pseudomonadati; Pseudomonadota; Alphaproteobacteria; Hyphomicrobiales; Xanthobacteraceae
Description: contains 16S-23S intergenic spacer region
Rfam family: Bacterial small subunit ribosomal RNA
Source: RNAcentral
UACGAAGGGGGCUAGCGUUGCUCGGAAUUACUGGGCGGAAAGCGCACGUAGGUGGAUUGUUAAGUCAGGGGUGAAAUCCCGGAGCUCAACUCCGGAACUGCCUUUGAUACUGGCAAUCUUGAGUCCGGGAGAGGUGAGUGGAGCUGCGAGUGUAGAGGUGAAAUUCGUAGAUAUUCGCAAGAACACCAGUGGCGAAGGCGGCUCACUGGCCCGGUACUGACGCUGAGGUGCGAAAGCGUGGGGAGCAAACAGG